ACGUUUUCCCUCUUAUCCUGACACAUGCAGCAGAGCGUAGAGUUUCUUCGGGGACUUGAGAGCGGCGUACGGGUGCGGAACACGUGUGCAACCUGCCUUUAUCUGGGGGAUAGCCUUUCGAAAGGAAGAUUAAUACCCCAUAAUAUACUGGAUGGCAUCAUCUGGUAUUGAAAACUCCGGUGGAUAGAGAUGGGCACGCGCAAGAUUAGAUAGUUGGUGAGGUAACGGCUCACCAAGUCAGCGAUCUUUAGGGGGCCUGAGAGGGUGAUCCCCCACACUGGUACUGAGACACGGACCAGACUCCUACGGGAGGCAGCAGUGAGGAAUAUUGGACAAUGGGUGAGAGCCUGAUCCAGCCAUCCCGCGUGAAGGACGACGGCCCUAUGGGUUGUAAACUUCUUUUGUAUAGGGAUAAACCUACCCUCGUGAGGGUAGCUGAAGGUACUAUACGAAUAAGCACCGGCUAACUCCGUGCCAGCAGCCGCGGUAAUACGGAGGGUGCAAGCGUUAUCCGGAUUUAUUGGGUUUAAAGGGUCCGUAGGCGGAUUUGUAAGUCAGUGGUGAAAUCUCACAGCUUAACUGUGAAACUGCCAUUGAUACUGCAGGUCUUGAGUGUUGUUGAAGUAGCUGGAAUAAGUAGUGUAGCGGUGAAAUGCAUAGAUAUUACUUAGAACACCAAUUGCGAAGGCAGGUUACUAAGCAACAACUGACGCUGAUGGACGAAAGCGUGGGGAGCGAACAGGAUUAGAUACCCUGAUAGUCCACGCCGUAAACGAUGCUAACUCGUUUUUGGGCUUUCGGGUUCAGAGACUAAGCGAAAGUGAUAAGUUAGCCACCUGGGGAGUACGAACGCAAGUUUGAAACUCAAAGAAAAUUGGACGGA
Molecule: ribosomal RNA, 883 nt
Filed under: Chryseobacterium sp.
Lineage: Bacteria; Pseudomonadati; Bacteroidota; Flavobacteriia; Flavobacteriales; Weeksellaceae
Description: bacterial SSU rRNA
Rfam family: Bacterial small subunit ribosomal RNA
Source: RNAcentral